ACAGGGGGAUAGCCUUUCGAAAGAGAGAUUAAUACCCCGUAAUAAAUUGAAAUGGCAUCAGUUUGAUUUUGAAAGCUCCGGCGGUUUAAGAUGAGUAUGCGUCUGAUUAGCUAGUUGGUGAGGUAACGGCUCACCAAGGCGACGAUCAGUAGGGGAUCUGAGAGGACUAACCCCCACACUGGUACUGAGACACGGACCAGACUCCUACGGGAGGCAGCAGUAAGGAAUAUUGGUCAAUGGAGGCAACUCUGAACCAGCCAUGCCGCGUGCAGGAUGACGGCCCUAUGGGUUGUAAACUGCUUUUGUACCAGAGAAAACCCCAGUACGUGUACUGGGUUGAUAGUAUGGUAAGAAUAAGCAUCGGCUAACUUCGUGCCAGCAGCCGCGGUAAGACGAAGGAUGCAAGCGUUAUCCGGAUUCAUUGGGUUUAAAGGGUGCGUAGGCGGACUUGUAAGUCAGUGGUGAAAUCUCUCAGCUUAACUGAGAAACUGCCAUUGAUACUGCAGGUCUAGAGUAUAGAUGACGUUGGCGGAAUAUGACAUGUAGUGGUGAAAUACUUAGAUGUGUCAUAGAACACCGAUUGCGAAGGCAGCUAACGAAACUAUAACUGACGCUGAGGCACGAAAGUGCGGGGAUCAAACAGGAUUAGAUACCCUGGUAGUCCGCACCGUAAACGAUGAUUACUCGUUGUUGGCGAUAUGACAGUCAGCGACCAAGCGAAAGCGAUAAGUAAUCCACCUGGGGAGUACGCCG
Molecule: ribosomal RNA, 753 nt
Filed under: uncultured Bacteroidota bacterium
Lineage: Bacteria; Pseudomonadati; Bacteroidota
Description: bacterial SSU rRNA
Rfam family: Bacterial small subunit ribosomal RNA
Source: RNAcentral